UGGGGCAUCGUUCAAUGGUAGGACACAGACCUUUGGAGUCUGUUAUCUAGGUUCGAAUCCUAGUGCCCCAGCCA
RNAcentral lists this transfer RNA (74 nucleotides) under Actinobacteria bacterium HGW-Actinobacteria-7. Its description in RNAcentral is "tRNA-Gln". It matches the Rfam family "tRNA". From Rfam's summary of the family: Transfer RNA (tRNA) molecules are approximately 80 nucleotides in length. Their secondary structure includes four short double-helical elements and three loops (D, anti-codon, and T loops). Further hydrogen bonds mediate the characteristic L-shaped molecular structure. tRNAs have two regions of fundamental functional importance: the anti-codon, which is responsible for specific mRNA codon recognition, and the 3' end, to which the tRNAs corresponding amino acid is attached (by aminoacyl-tRNA synthetases). tRNAs cope with the degeneracy of the genetic code in two manners: having more than one tRNA (with a specific anti-codon) for a particular amino acid; and 'wobble' base-pairing, i.e. permitting non-standard base-pairing at the 3rd anti-codon position. The record is from RNAcentral. Lineage: Bacteria; Bacillati; Actinomycetota.